Xenia sp. Carnegie-2017 is the source of this 509-nucleotide long non-coding RNA. RefSeq lists it as uncharacterized. The record is from RefSeq and is a predicted model, not a curated record. The transcript is spliced from 3 exons. NCBI's taxonomy places the organism in Eukaryota, Metazoa, Cnidaria, Anthozoa, Malacalcyonacea, Xeniidae.
AUAACCACACUUACAACCAUCUACAUUUUACAAACUUUUUUAUGUUUUAACACGUAUAGAGUGAUCAUUAAUGGAAUCUUUAUGUUUUAUUUGAAAUAAUAUGUUUAAAAUAACUCUCACAGUUAACACAAGUUGGCAACUUGGCAUAUUUACACUUGUAGUAGAUUUGCUACUAGAUAUUUAAUUCAUAUGAUAAUGCAAAUUGAUAUCUUCCGUUAAAUCAAAGUCACAUGGAGUAGUAACUUCCUAACAACAAAUUGGCUAUUGGAGUUUCGAAGGUUAAUGAAAAAAUGUAUCGUUUUGGGAAAAAGUUUAAGCGUUCAAAGACGUUUUUCUACACUCGAGGCCCUCGACGAUCACCUAUUGAUUCGAUGGCCCCUCAUAGCAGUCAAUCUAAAUCAAACGAAGACUACGAAGUGGAAUGUAAUGUGGAAAUGCAUGAUGAUCAUUCAUUGUUAGAAGAAUGUGUUGAGUCAAACAUCACUCUUGAACAACCGUUGCACCUGGUU